GACAGAGGGUGCAAACGUUGCUCGGAAUCAUUGGGCGUAAAGCGCGUGUAGGUGGCUCUCCACGUCGGAUGUGAAAGCCCGGGGCUCAACCCCGGCAGUGCAUCCGAAACGAGGGAGCUAGAGUGCUGGAGAGGCGGGUGGAAUUCCCGGUGUAGAGGUGAAAUUCGUAGAUAUCGGGAGGAACACCGGUGGCGAAGGCGACCCGCUGGCCAGCAACUGACACUGAGACGCGAAAGCGUGGGGAGCAAACAGG
RNAcentral lists this ribosomal RNA (253 nucleotides) under uncultured bacterium. RNAcentral describes it as "partial 16S ribosomal RNA". It matches the Rfam family "Bacterial small subunit ribosomal RNA", at positions 524 to 776 of the family's 1533-position model. The record is from RNAcentral.